This 478-nucleotide ribosomal RNA is filed under the name uncultured bacterium. RNAcentral describes it as "bacterial SSU rRNA". It matches the Rfam family "Bacterial small subunit ribosomal RNA", at positions 30 to 524 of the family's 1533-position model. The record is from RNAcentral.
AUUGAACGCUGGCGGCAUGCCUUACACAUGCAAGUCGAACGGCAGCACGGGAGCAAUCCUGGUGGCGAGUGGCGAACGGGUGAGUAAUAUAUCGGAACGUGCCCGGUCGUGGGGAUAACGUAGCGAAAGCUACGCUAAUACCGCAUACGAUCUACGGAUGAAAGCGGGGGAUCGCAAGACCUCGCGCGAUUGGAGCGGCCGAUAUCAGAUUAGGUAGUUGGUGGGGUAAAGGCCUACCAAGGCGACGAUCUUUAGCUGGUCUGAGAGGAUGAUCAGCCACACUGGGACUGAGACACGGCCCAGACUCCUACGGGAGGCAGCAGUGGGGAAUAUUGGACAAUGGGGGAAACCCUGAUGCAGCAACGCCGCGUGAAGGAUGAAGGUUUUUCGGAUUGUAAACUUCUUUAGUCAGGGACGAAUAAAUGACGGUACCUGAAGAAUAAGCCACGGCUAACUACGUGCCAGCAGCCGCGGUAAU